CUACGGGAGGCAGCAGUGGGGAAUAUUGGACAAUGGGCGAAAGCCUGAUCCAGCAAUACCGCGUGUGUGAAGAAGGCCUGCGGGUUGUAAAGCACUUUCAGUUGGGAAGAUGAUGACGUUACCAACAGAAGAAGCACCGGCUAACUCCGUGCCAGCAGCCGCGGUAAUACGGAGGGUGCAAGCGUUAAUCGGAAUUACUGGGCGUAAAGCGCGCGUAGGUGGUUUAUUAAGUCAGAUGUGAAAGCCCUGGGCUUAACCUGGGAACUGCAUUUGAUACUGGUAGGCUAGAGUAUGGUAGAGGGAAGUGGAAUUCCAGGUGUAGCGGUGAAAUGCGUAGAUAUCUGGAGGAACAUCAGUGGCGAAGGCGACUUCCUGGACCAAUACUGACACUGAGGUGCGAAAGCGUGGGUAGCAAACAGGAUUAGAUACCCUGGUAGUCCACGCUGUAAACGAUGUCAACUAGCCGUUGGGUCCAUUUAAGGGCUUAGUGGCGCACUAACGCGAUAAGUUGACCGCCUGGGGAGUACGGCCGCAAGGUUAAAACUCAAAGGAAUUGACGG
This 560-nucleotide ribosomal RNA is filed under the name uncultured marine bacterium. RNAcentral's name for it is "bacterial SSU rRNA". It matches the Rfam family "Bacterial small subunit ribosomal RNA", at positions 339 to 916 of the family's 1533-position model. The record is from RNAcentral.